Molecule: transfer RNA, 73 nt
Filed under: Sphaerodactylus townsendi
Lineage: Eukaryota; Metazoa; Chordata; Lepidosauria; Squamata; Sphaerodactylidae
Description: tRNA-Ala
Source: RNAcentral
GGGGGCGUGGCUCAAUGGAAGAGCAUCCACUUGGCAUGGAGAAAGGUCCCAGGUUCAGUUCCCGACAUCUCCA